This 435-nucleotide ribosomal RNA is filed under the name uncultured bacterium. RNAcentral's name for it is "partial 16S ribosomal RNA". It matches the Rfam family "Bacterial small subunit ribosomal RNA", at positions 29 to 507 of the family's 1533-position model. The record is from RNAcentral.
AACGAACGCUGGCGGCAUGCCUAACACAUGCAAGUCGAACGAUUGCCUUCGGGUGAUAGUGGCGCACGGGUGCGUAACGCGUGGGAAUCUGCCCUUAGGUUCGGAAUAACAGCUGGAAACGGCUGCUAAUACCGGAUGAUAUCGCGAGAUCAAAGAUUUAUCGCCUGAGGAUGAGCCCGCGUUGGAUUAGGUAGUUGGUGGGGUAAAGGCCUACCAAGCCGACGAUCCAUAGCUGGUCUGAGAGGAUGAUCCGCCACACUGGCACUGAGACACGGCCCAGACUCCUACGGGAGGCAGCAGUGGGGAAUAUUGGACAAUGGGCGCAAGCCUGAUCCAGCAAUGCCGCGUGAGUGAUGAAGGCCCUAGGGUUGUAAAGCUCUUUUACCCGGGAAGAUAAUGACUGUACCGGGAGAAUAAGCCCCGGCUAACUCCGUG